Molecule: ribosomal RNA, 581 nt
Filed under: Conasprella aphrodite
Lineage: Eukaryota; Metazoa; Mollusca; Gastropoda; Neogastropoda; Conidae
Description: partial 12S ribosomal RNA
Rfam family: Bacterial small subunit ribosomal RNA
Source: RNAcentral
UGCCAGCAGUCGCGGUUACACCAGGAAAUUAAGUCAUAUUUAUCGGUAAAAAGACAGUUAGACAACAAAACAGGUCAUAGAAUUUUCAAUAUAGAGGUGCAAUUCGAAUAUUGAUAAAUAAUCUAGUCAUGACUAAUUUAGUUGAAUCUGUGAUAGCUUUAAGGGAAACUGGGAUUUGAUACCCCAUUAUUUUUAGUUGUAAAUUCAAUUUUAUAUAAUUUACCAGAGUACUACGAACAGAAAGUUUAAAACUCAAAGGGCUUGGCGGUGUUUUAGACCACUCAGGGGAACCUGUCUCAUAAUCGAUGAUCCACGUUAAACCUGACCUUUUUUUGCAUUCAGCUUGUAUACCGUCGUCGUCAGGUAACUUCUAAAAAAUUAAAAGUUAGCGAAAGAAUUUGUAAAUUAUAAUGUCAGAUCAGGGUGCAGCUUAUAAAAAGGGGAGGAUGGGUUACAAUUAUAAAUCUUAACUACGAAAGACAGUUAGAAUUAACUGAUCUGAAGGAGGACUUGAAAGUAAUCUUAAAUAUACAAAUUAUAUGAAUAAGGCUCUGAAAUGUGCACACAUCGCCCGUCACUCU